RNAcentral lists this ribosomal RNA (802 nucleotides) under uncultured bacterium. RNAcentral's name for it is "bacterial SSU rRNA". It matches the Rfam family "Bacterial small subunit ribosomal RNA", at positions 8 to 796 of the family's 1533-position model. The record is from RNAcentral.
AGAGUUUGAUCAUGGCUCAGGACGAACGCUGGCGGCGUGCUUAACACAUGCAAGUGGAGCGACGAACCAGGGCUUGCCCUGGGGCAGAGCCGCGAACGGGUGAGUAACACGUGGGUAACCUACCCCGAUGACCGGGACAACCCGAGGAAACUCGGGCUAAUACCGGAUGUUCUCGCUUCCUGUAAGGGAAUCGAGCAAAGAUAGCUUCGGCCUUCGCAUCGGGACGGGCCCGCGGCCCAUUAGCUUGUUGGUGGGGUAACGGCCUACCAAGGCUGCGAUGGGUAGCUGGUCUGAGAGGACGAUCAGCCACACUGGGACUGAGACACGGCCCAGACUCCUACGGGAGGCAGCAGUGGGGAAUCUUGCGCAAUGCGCGAAAGCGUGACGCAGCAACGCCGCGUGGGGGAAGAAGGCCUUCGGGUUGUAAACCCCUUUCAGUUGGGACGAAGCUUCGUCGGUUAAUAGCCGGCUGGAGUGACGGUACCUUCACAAGAAGCCCCGGCUAACUACGUGCCAGCAGCCGCGGUAAUACGUAGGGGGCGAGCGUUGUCCGGAAUCAUUGGGCGUAAAGCGCGUGUAGGCGGUCCGGUAAGUUCGCUGUGAAAGUCGGGGGCUUAACCCUCGGAUGCCGGUGAAUACUGUCGGGCUUGAGUACGGAAGAGGCGAGUGGAAUUCCUGGUGUAGCGGUGAAAUGCGCAGAUAUCAGGAGGAACACCAAUUGCGAAGGCAGCUCGCUGGGACGUUACUGACGCUGAGACGCGAAAGCGUGGGGAGCAAACAGGAUUAGAUACCCUAGUAGUCC